GACGAACGCUGGCGGCGUGCUUAACACAUGCAAGUCGAACGGAAAGGCCCUUCGGGGUACUCGAGUGGCAAACGGGUGAGUAACACGUGGGUGAUCUGCCCUGCACUUUGGGAUAAGCCUGGGAAACUGGGUCUAAUACCGAAUAGGACCACGCGCUUCAUGGUGUGUGGUGGAAAGCUUUUGCGGUGUGGGAUGGGCCCGCGGCCUAUCAGCUUGUUGGUGGGGUAAUGGCCUACCAAGGCGACGACGGGUAGCCGGCCUGAGAGGGUGACCGGCCACACUGGGACUGAGAUACGGCCCAGACUCCUACGGGAGGCAGCAGUGGGGAAUAUUGCACAAUGGGCGCAAGCCUGAUGCAGCGACGCCGCGUGAGGGAUGACGGCCUUCGGGUUGUAAACCUCUUUCAAUAGGGACGAAGCGCAAGUGACGGUACCUAUAGAAGAAGCACCGGCCAACUACGUG
RNAcentral lists this ribosomal RNA (462 nucleotides) under uncultured bacterium. Its description in RNAcentral is "partial 16S ribosomal RNA". It matches the Rfam family "Bacterial small subunit ribosomal RNA", at positions 28 to 507 of the family's 1533-position model. The record is from RNAcentral.